Molecule: small nuclear RNA, 105 nt
Filed under: Dasypus novemcinctus (nine-banded armadillo)
Lineage: Eukaryota; Metazoa; Chordata; Mammalia; Cingulata; Dasypodidae
Source: RNAcentral
GUGCUCACUUUAGCAGCACUUACGCUAAAUUGGAAUAAUACUGAGCAGAUUAGCAUGGCCCUGAGCAAGGAUGACAUACAAAUUCAUGAAGUGUUCCAUAUUUUU